Molecule: transfer RNA, 78 nt
Filed under: Candidatus Thorarchaeota archaeon
Lineage: Archaea; Promethearchaeati; Candidatus Thorarchaeota
Description: tRNA-Ile
Rfam family: tRNA
About the family: Transfer RNA (tRNA) molecules are approximately 80 nucleotides in length. Their secondary structure includes four short double-helical elements and three loops (D, anti-codon, and T loops). Further hydrogen bonds mediate the characteristic L-shaped molecular structure. tRNAs have two regions of fundamental functional importance: the anti-codon, which is responsible for specific mRNA codon recognition, and the 3' end, to which the tRNAs corresponding amino acid is attached (by aminoacyl-tRNA synthetases). tRNAs cope with the degeneracy of the genetic code in two manners: having more than one tRNA (with a specific anti-codon) for a particular amino acid; and 'wobble' base-pairing, i.e. permitting non-standard base-pairing at the 3rd anti-codon position.
Source: RNAcentral
GGGCCCGUGGCAUAGACUGGUUAUUGCACCGCUCUGAUAAGGCGGGGGCCGAGUGUUCAAAUCACUCCGGGCCCACCA